This 380-nucleotide unclassified non-coding RNA is filed under the name uncultured Rickettsiales bacterium. Its description in RNAcentral is "contains 16S-23S intergenic spacer region". Lineage: Bacteria; Pseudomonadati; Pseudomonadota; Alphaproteobacteria; Rickettsiales. The record is from RNAcentral.
UCCGGCUUAUCACCGGCAGUUUCCUCAGAGUUCCCAGCUUUACCUGUUGGCAACAGAGGACGAGGGUUGCGCUCGUUGCGGGACUUAACCCAACAUCUCACGACACGAGCUGACGACAGCCAUGCAGCACCUGUGCAUCUCCCACCCGAAGUGAAGGACCCCAUCUCUGGAGCCCAUAGAGAGCAUGUCAAGGCCUGGUAAGGUUCUUCGCGUUGCCUCGAAUUAAACCACAUGUUCCACCGCUUGUGCGGGUCCCCGUCAAUUCCUUUGAGUUUUAAUCUUGCGACCGUACUCCCCAGGCGGGAUGCUUAGCGCGUUAACUACGCCACUGAGAGGCAACCCCCCAACGGCUAGCAUCCAUCGUUUACGGCGUGGACUAC